Molecule: RNA transcript, 3924 nt
Organism: Prosopis cineraria
Lineage: Eukaryota; Viridiplantae; Streptophyta; Magnoliopsida; Fabales; Fabaceae
Gene name: U-box domain-containing protein 27-like
Exons: 3
Source: RefSeq, a predicted model, not a curated record
CUCUCUCUCUCUCUCUCUCUGUGUUCGCUGCUUUCUCUCGCUUUCUCGGAGGCCAAACGGCGGUCACCAUGGUCAGGGACGAUCUAUACAUCACGAUACCGACCUUCUUCCGUUGUCCUAUUUCCCUCGAUAUCAUGAAAUCUCCGGUGAGUCUCUGCACCGGCGUUACCUACGACCGUUCCAGCAUUCAACGCUGGCUCGAUAACGGCAACAACACCUGCCCUGCCACCAUGCAGGUUUUGCAAACCAAAGAGUUUGUUCCUAACCGUACUCUACAGAGGCUUAUCCAGAUCUGGUCCGACUCGGUUCACAACCGAGUCGAAUCGGCCGAGUCUCCGGCCACCAGAACAGUGCCCUCGCCGGAUCAGGUAGUCGAAACUGUGAAGUACUUGGACGGCCACGGCGAGAACUGUCUCGAUUCCUUAACAAGAAUUGUAUAUUUCGCCGAAGAAUCUGAAGAGAAUCGAGAGUUCCUUGCGAAGUUAGACGGAUUCGUGCCUUUGCUCGUUGAUUUACUCGACAAUGUCAAUGGCGACGUUGAAAUGCUCGAGCGAGUCAUUAGUGCUUUAGAUACAGUUCUAAAUAAAAUCGAAGAUCGCGAGCAGUUGAAGAGAUUGAUGUUGAAAAACCGCGGUAAUUGCCUAGCUUCUCUGCUCCUAGUUCUGCAACAAGGUAGCGCCGUCUCGAAAAUCGGAUCGGUGAGGAUUCUAAAGUUCAUCGCUGUGGAUGCCGAGUCCAAGGUUACGAUCGCCGAAAAGGAAGGUCUAAUGUCCGAAUUGCUUAAAUCAGUCGCUCCAGACAAGGACCCAGCGCUAAUUGAAAACAGUUUGUCGUGUUUGGUUGCAAUCUCGACGCCUAAGCGGAACAAGUUGAAAUCGAUCCAUCUCGGAGCUAUCAAGACACUUUCGCAGUUACUUUCUGGCUCGAAUUCGAGCACGUCCGUAACGGAAAAGGCUCUGAAACUGCUCGAAACGAUGUCGUCGACUAAAGAAGGUAGGUCGGAGAUCUGCGAGGACCCGGCGUGCUUACCGGCCGUAUUGCAAAAAGUUCUGAAGGUAUCAAGCAUCGCGACGGAGCACGCGGUGAUGAUACUGUGGACUGUGUGUUAUCUGUUUCGCGAUCAGAAGGCGCAGGAAGUGGUGGCAAUGGCCAACGGUUUUACCAAAUUUCUGCUUCUGAUACAGACCAAUUGCUCGCCGGCGGUUCGGCAAAUGUCCGCCGAUUUGCUCAAGAUUUUUCGGACAUGAGGAAGAGGAGGAGAUGAGAAAGAAAGGAAACCACUUACCACUGGGCUUUAUUGCAGGAGAAGCAAGAAAGGAAGGAAGGAAGAGUGCCGCAAAAUGCUGAAAUGGUCCUGGAUUGUGGUGCGUCAUGAGGAAUGUGUGGAUUGGCCGCAGCUAGCAGCAAUAUAAAUAAAGGGGCAAAAAAUAAAACAAAAGGUUGGUUCUCCAAGCACUAUCCCUCCUUUUUCACGUUCUUCCUCUUUUUCUAUUUAUAUAAAUACUGCAAAAUCAAAUAUUCAGUAUAGUGUAUUAGAGAGAGAGAGUGUGUGUGCAUGUGGGGGUUAGUACGUAUUGGAUCAUGUGUGGUCACUGGUCACUAGCUACAAAAGAGUAUAUGAAAACCAACUAGGGCGUGGUUUAUUAUAGUGGAAAGUGCCAUUAUUCGAUGGGGUACCAUGUUGGGGUGCAUUGACAAGUCACGUGCCACGAUCGAAUUGGCUGAAUCGGCAAUACGACAAGUCGUUUUUGUCAGACUUGACCCCUGGAUUCAGGGUGGGAGGAGGGGGUGUGGCUUACUUACACACUCAUUUCUGAGGCUGGGGAUGCAACCCAUCUUUUCCUUGUCCUUUUUGAUUUUUUUUUAAAUUAAUUCAGUGAUAUUUUGUGCUAUAACAAUAAUAAAACGGGAAAAAAUUAGAAUACGUGUAGCAUGUGAUAGUUGCUUUAUUGAUUAGACAAGGGGGGGUGUGAUAUGGUGGGUUUUGACUUACGACCCGUGAGCAUAAGCUGUCCAAUAAGACACAGUGAGAGUUGAAUAAGGAGCACAGUGGAGGGCUUAGAGAAAAGUGCGCCCAAGGACCAAAAGACUCAAACAUUUGAACAUAGGUCCCAAAUAUUGAAAUAAAUUCUACUUGGGAUCUCCCCAUCAUGCAGAGACAGUAUGUUUUUUAAUAGAAAUAUCAAAAUACUCCUUCCUUUUAUGCCAUCGUCUUCAAAUUAUUAAAGAUUUGUAGAUAACUUUCACCUGUGUGUGAGAGAGAGAGAGAGAGAGAGAGAGAUUUUAUUUAUUUAUUUAUUUAUUUUUUGCUGAAAACACAUUUUGCCUACAUGACCUCUGCAGACAAUUUGCCUGUGGCUUAUUCGGAGAUCAAUUGUUGAGCAGUGUGUGAUGAUGAGUGGGCCCAGAAGGAGCCCACUGAAAUGAAAGAGAGAGGUAAAAAAGUACCUACAAACAAUGAAUUAUUAAAAAGAAUCUGAGAGUGCAUGGGCAGGGCUAGGUUGGAUUUUGGAGGACAAUAAUGUAAUGGGAAAGUGGGGAAGGUCUCGGGCAUUUUGUUUGGAAAUGACCCCCUGUCUUUAUUUUUUUUUAAAAAAAAUUAAAAUACUUAUAAAAAUAUGCAUAAUCUUUUUAUUAUAAUAAGUUUUAUAUUUGAUAUGAGAUAUGGAUGAUAUAAUUUUCAAUUUAUAAACUUUUCUAACUAUCAAUUUAUCAAAUUAAAAAUUAUAAAAAUUGAGUUUAUUCAAAUCAAUAAAAUAUAAAUAUUGAAUUAUUUUGAUUAAAAGUUCAAAGUUUAAGGUGAUAAUUAAAAAUAAAAAUAAAAAGCUAAAGGUUAUAUUUUUGGUAGGAGAUAUCUAUUUCUUAACAAGAUACAAGUCAGGUCUCUUGUUGGAUGGAUCAAUUUUUAUUAGCUUUUUUUAAUUAAUUAACAAUAUAAGAAAGCUAAUGGCUCUCCCUUUAUUUUUUUUAAAUUAUCUAAUUUUUCUUUACAUGGAUAAAACUUGAGGCUUAAGUUAGAUCAUGAUCUCAUCUCACUUUUAAUGCAUACAUUUCAUGGGGCUAAUUUUCUUCAAGUAAAGGCUCCUAAUGUAGUAAAAUAAUGGCUCAGACGCGGCCUUAUUUGAUUCCAUCAAUAUGUAAUCUCUACCUCUGAUUAAUUAAUUCUUAAUUAUUCCUCUGAUGAGGGUUUGGAUAUGAUUAAUUAAGCAAAAUUCUCCCCACAAAAUUCAUUGAUUAGACAAUAACCAAGUCCCUUCCUUCCCUAUACUACCUCAAAUCUCACCCUUAAUAAAAUUAUUAUUUAUUUUUAAACUAAUAUCAUCUUUUUAUAUUUAUCUAUAUUUAAUGAAAAAUUUUACUUUAAAAUAAAUGUAAAAUAAUUUAUUCAUUGAGAGCAUUUUUUUUUAAAUAGGCCAUAACUAUGCUUUGAAAUACUAAAAAUGCCUUGAAUUUAAAAAAAAUCUAACCCUAUAAAAAAUAACUUAUAUUUUUUAAUGGAGGGGGUAUUUGGUUAUAUUAUAUAUAUUAUUAAUAAAUACCAUAGUCUAUAUAUAUAUAUAUAUAUAGCACUACAUGCACGUAUUAUUAUUUUCGUGAUCAUUAUAAUUAAUUAUGAUCGUAUCACUUCGGAUCUAAGGUUUCGUGCUUGAUUACCUACUAAAUACAUACCAUCAAAACGUUAUUUUUGCUUUUCCUCCUUGUUACUCAAAAUCAAAUGAAACAUUAUGCGCAAUCAUCUAUACUUAAAUAUACUUUUUUUGAUCCUAUUUAUAAAGUAGAGAGAGAGAGAAAUUUUUUUAAUCUUAUUUAUAAAUCACGUUAUUAAAUUUUCAUUAUAAAAAUUCUCUUACCCUUCAUUAAAUGUUGGAGAGAGAAAAUAAAUUAUUGAAGUUUAUCUAUUUAAUAGGGAUAAAGUUAAAAACU